Molecule: ribosomal RNA, 501 nt
Filed under: uncultured bacterium
Lineage: Bacteria
Description: bacterial SSU rRNA
Rfam family: Bacterial small subunit ribosomal RNA
Source: RNAcentral
GACGAACGCUGGCGGCGCGCCUAACACAUGCAAGUCGAACGGAGUUAAUAUUUUUGAAGUUUUCGGAUGGACGAAAUAUUAACUUAGUGGCGAACGGGUGAGUAACACGUGAGUAACCUGCCUUUCACAGGGGGACAACAUUUGGAAACGAAUGCUAAUACCGCAUAAGACCACGCUAUGGCAUCAUAGAGAGGUCAAAGGAGCAAUCCGGUGAAAGAUGGGCUCGCGUCCGAUUAGCUAGAUGGUAAGGUAAUGGCUUACCAUGGCGACGAUCGAUAGCCGGACUGAGACGUUGAACACCCACAUUCGGACUUGGGCACGGCCCAGACUCCUACGGGAGGCAGCAGUGGGGAAUAUUGCACAAUGGGGGAAACCCUGAUGCAGCGACGCCGCGUGGAGGAAGAAUGUCUUCGGAUUGUAAACUCCUGUCUUUGGGGACGAUAAUGACGGUACCCAAGGAGGAAGCACCGGCUAACUACGUGCCAGCCGCCGCCGGAAUAC